This is an RNA transcript of Mus musculus (house mouse), 1074 nucleotides long. It is a transcript of the gene named peptidyl-tRNA hydrolase 1 homolog, with no coding region annotated. The record is from RefSeq and is marked validated. Lineage: Eukaryota; Metazoa; Chordata; Mammalia; Rodentia; Muridae. The transcript has 5 exons.
UAGGGAUGCCUGACGUCAAGGGGCGGGGUCCUGGCUGUGAAUGGGAGUCGGCACGUUGAAGUCCGGUCUUUUUAGUCCAGGGAUGCGGCGGAGUUGGGCCUUGAGCCGGCAGGUUUCCGAGGCUCGGUUCCCCGGGAAGCGGUGGCUGGUGGCUGGCCUGGGGAACCACGGAAUGCCCGGCACCCGGCACAGUGUGGGCAUGGCGGUGCUGGGGCAAAUAGCAAGGCGACUGGGAGUGGCGGAGAAUUGGACUCGUGACUCGCGCUGUGCUGCUGACCUCGCCCUGGCCCCGCUCGGGGAUGCUCAGCUGGUACUGCUCCGGCCGCGGCGCCUCAUGAACGUCAACGGGCGCAGCGUAGCCCGAGCUGCUGUUUGGGCUGACUGCGGAGGAGAUCUAUCUGGUCCAUGAUGAACUGGACAAGCCGUUGGGAAAGCUGGCUCUGAAGCUGGGGGGCAGCGCAAGGCUGGGCUGCUCUGAAGAAGGCCUGGGCAAGGGAAUGGAGGAAGGGCACUGCCUCAGAAAGUACUAACUGCUCUUCAUAUCCCCUCAAGGGGCCAUAAUGGAGUCCGUUCCUGCAUUAGCUGUCUGAACUCCAAUGCAAUGCCAAGGCUGCUGGUGGGCAUCGGGCGCCCCACACACCCUAAUAUGGUGGAGAACCAUGUCCUGGGCUGUUUCUCCCCGGAGGAGCAGGAGCUACUGUCCCCAUUGAUGGAUCAGGCCACUGACCUGCUCCUGGACCACAUCCGUGCUCGAAGCCAGGGACCAUUGUCAGGCCUCUAAUACCAGUGGAUAUAUCUACCUGUUUGACUGCCUGCCGGUGCCAUGAAGCCAAGACAGGGCCACAGAACUGCAAUGACACAGUGGUACCCAAUGUUUAUAUAACUUCCCUGGGUUUCCCCAGGCUACUUGCAGAUUCAAGGAGGGACUGUGGCCACAUCAGUCUGUUUCUGCAGCAGCUUGGUCUCCCCGUUCGCUAUUUGCGGUGUAGGAAAGGUCUAGGAAGGGUAAACUUUCUGAACCUUUUGAGAGCUCCAGAUGGGUAGAUCUGCAAGAUUAAAGAUACGAACUUGAAA